CGCUAUCACUCCUACGGGAGGCAGCAGUGGGGAAUAUUGCACAAUGGGGGAAACCCUGAUGCAGCCAUGCCGCGUGUGUGAAGAAGGCCUUCGGGUUGUAAAGCACUUUCAGUAGGGAGGAAGGUAGUGUAGUUAACACCUGCAUUAUUUGACGUUACCUACAGAAGAAGCACCGGCUAACUCCGUGCCAGCAGCCGCGGUAAUACGGAGGGUGCGAGCGUUAAUCGGAAUUACUGGGCGUAAAGCGCAUGCAGGCGGCCUGUUAAGUCAGAUGUGAAAGCCCGGGGCUUAACCUCGGAAUUGCAUUUGAAACUGGCAGGCUAGAGUCUUGUAGAGGGGGUAGAAUUUCGGGUGUAGCGGUGAAAUGCGUAGAGAUCUGAAGGAAUACCAGUGGCGAAGGCGGCCCCCUGGACAAAGACUGACGCUCAGAUGCGAAAGCGUGGGGAGCAAACAGGAUUAGAUACCCUGGUAG
This 472-nucleotide ribosomal RNA is filed under the name uncultured bacterium. RNAcentral's name for it is "bacterial SSU rRNA". It matches the Rfam family "Bacterial small subunit ribosomal RNA", at positions 328 to 793 of the family's 1533-position model. The record is from RNAcentral.